GAUGAACUGUGGGUAGCGGAGAAAUUCCAAUCGAACCCGGAGAUAGCUGGUUCUCUCCGAAAUAGCUUUAGGGCUAGCCUUGAAAUAGAUUACCGGAGGUAAAGCACUGAAUUGGCUAGGGGCCGAGAGGUUACUGAACCUUAUCAAACUAAGAAUGCCGGAUAAUCGUUUUUCAGGAGUCAGACAGUGGGAGAUAAGUUUCAUUGUCAAAAGGGAAACAGCCCAGACCCACAGCUAAGGUCCCCAAGUAUAGUUAAGUGGAAAAGGAUGUGGAAUUGCACAGACAACCAGGAUGUUGGCUUAGAAGCAGCCACUCAUUAAAAGAGUGCGUAAUAGCUCACUGGUCGAGUGACUCUGCGCGGAAAAUAUAACGGGGCUAAGCAUGCAACCGAAGCUUAGGAUGUCCGCAAGGGCGUGGUAGGGGAGCGUCGUGUACGGGGUGAAGUCGCAGCGGAAGCAGCGGUGGACUGUACAGGAGUGAGAAUGCCGGAAUGAGUAGCGAGAAUUAUGUGGGAAUCAUAAUGGCCGAAAAUCUAAGGUUUCUUGGGGAAGGUUCGUCCGCCCAAGGUUAGUCGGGAGCUAAGCUCAGGCCGAAAGGCGUAGGCGAUGCACAUACGGUAGAAAUUCCGUAACCACCGAACAUUUAAGCUAGAGGGACGCUUUCUUUAAGGUUAUCCCGGGCGAUGGUUGCCCCGGGCGUAAGGGACCGAAAUUUAGUAGGGAAGUAACUGGCGAGAGAGACGAGAAAAGCUCUAGUGUAUACUAAGGUGCCCGUACCGCAAACCGACACAGGUAGAUGGGAUGAGUAUUCUAAGGCCAACGGGAGAAGGGUUGUUAAGGAACUCGGCAAAUUGGCCCCGUAACUUCGGGAUAAGGGGCGCCUGCGAGAGCAGGCCGCAGUGAAAAGGCCCAAGCGACUGUUUAGCAAAAACACAGCUCUCUGCUAAAUCGAAAGAUGACGUAUAGGGGGUGACGCCUGCCCGGUGCUGGAAGGUUAAGGGGAGUGCUUAGCGCAAGCGAAGGUGCGAACUUAAGCCCCAGUAAACGGCGGCCGUAACUAUAACGGUCCUAAGGUAGCGAAAUUCCUUGUCGGGUAAG
RNAcentral lists this ribosomal RNA (1098 nucleotides) under human gut metagenome. RNAcentral describes it as "bacterial LSU rRNA". It matches the Rfam family "Bacterial large subunit ribosomal RNA", at positions 803 to 1980 of the family's 2925-position model. The record is from RNAcentral.